CGCAAUAGUUUAUUCUUACAAAAUAUAGACCGGUUAACUUUAGCGAAAUGGGAUCACUUUUAGCUCUUUUAAAAACAAAAUGAACAAAUUUCAUGGGUUAUCAGCAUUACGAAAAGUGUCAAAGUCUCAGAAAAGCAAGACGAUUUUGAAGUAUCUCUUAUUGCUGGAAAAGAUAAACAUCAACAUUUCACGCACAUUUCACAUGAUUUGUAUGUUUCGUUUCGGUAACUGUGUGGCUUGAAAUUUCAAAGAAACCAACAUGUCGACUUACAUGCUACAAAAUUAACGUCUCCCGUAUACAAACUACAAACCUGUUCGAGUUUAAUGAUAGUCACACAUAGUUCCAUCAAUAGCUGUCAAGUGUGAUGGUUUGAAUAGUAAAUCCAGCGACAACAAGCUGCAUCGGCAAAAAUAGUAACUCUCUUGUGUGGAAACAAGGAAGAUUGUAAUAUUAGAGUUGUUCCCCUUUGUAACAGCAGACGACCUUAACAUAUAUAUCACGGACGCUUCUGGACUAAAAAAAAGAAAGAGAAACUUCUCCUCGGCUGACAUAGAUAUCAUUGUAUCAGGUGUGGAAAGUAAUUUUGACAUGCUGAAUUCGGCCUUUACGUAUACAGUGACAAAUAAUGCAAAGAAGAGGAUUUGGAAAGAUAUCACCACGACAUUCUACAACUGAUUCCAUCCUGUGCUAUUGAGGGGAUCCCAGGGGGCAUAGAAACACCUGAUGAUGAUGGCACUUCCUCCUUAGGAUUCAUGGACAUGUGUAUUAAAGUCAAUAAAAUUCUCCACAGGAAGUGUUUUACACUCCACUGACAGCUACAAGCUUAAGUAAGCACAGGAGAAACUGAUUGUGGAACUAGCACAGAAAAGAACCAAGCCAGUCUGGAGGAUAUAAUGAUGACUCCUGCUAUCAGAGCCAAUAUAUGUACCUUAGUAGCCGCAGUAUCCUUGUGGUACACAACUAUCUUCACCUCCUGGAGUGAUGAUCCGGGGUUGUCCUGUCCGAACUGUUCCACCGUCUCCAUCAUGGUUUUGGCCAC
Molecule: long non-coding RNA, 1040 nt
Filed under: Haliotis rufescens (red abalone)
Lineage: Eukaryota; Metazoa; Mollusca; Gastropoda; Lepetellida; Haliotidae
Description: uncharacterized LOC124150588, transcript variant X1
Source: RNAcentral